This 573-nucleotide ribosomal RNA is filed under the name uncultured bacterium. RNAcentral describes it as "bacterial SSU rRNA". It matches the Rfam family "Bacterial small subunit ribosomal RNA", at positions 332 to 922 of the family's 1533-position model. The record is from RNAcentral.
GCCCUUCCUACGGGAGGCAGCAGUGGGGAAUAUUGCACAAUGGGGGAAACCCUGAUGCAGCGACGCCGCGUGGAGGAAGAAGGUCUUCGGAUUGUAAACUCCUGUUGUUGGGGAAAAGAAGGAUGGUACCCAACAAGGAAGUGACGGCUAACUACGUGCCAGCAGCCGCGGUAAAACGUAGGUCACGAGCGUUGUCCGGAAUUACUGGGUGUAAAGGGAGCGCAGGCGGGUAUGCAAGUUGGGAGUGAAAUACAUGGGCUCAACCCAUGAACUGCUCUCAAAACUGUGUAUCUUGAGUAGUGCAGAGGUAGGCGGAAUUCCCGGUGUAGCGGUGGAAUGCGUAGAUAUCGGGAGGAACACCAGUGGCGAAGGCGGCCUACUGGGCACCAACUGACGCUGAGGCUCGAAAGUGUGGGUAGCAAACAGGAUUAGAUACCCUGGUAGUCCACACCGUAAACGAUGAUUACUAGGUGUUGGAGGAUAGACCCCUUCAGUGCCGCAGUUAACACAAUAAGUAAUCCACCUGGGGAGUACGACCGCAAGGUUGAAACUCAAAGGAAUUGACGGAAGGGC